RNAcentral lists this non-coding RNA (21 nucleotides) under Caenorhabditis elegans. The record is from RNAcentral. Lineage: Eukaryota; Metazoa; Nematoda; Chromadorea; Rhabditida; Rhabditidae.
UAAAGGUCAAGUUUUCACGCU